RNAcentral lists this ribosomal RNA (1470 nucleotides) under uncultured organism. RNAcentral describes it as "16S ribosomal RNA". It matches the Rfam family "Bacterial small subunit ribosomal RNA". The record is from RNAcentral.
AUUGAACGCUGGCGGCAGGCCUAACACAUGCAAGUCGAACGGUAACAGGAAGAAGCUUGCUUCUUUGCUGACGAGUGGCGGACGGGUGAGUAAUGUCUGGGAAACUGCCUGAUGGAGGGGGAUAACUACUGGAAACGGUAGCUAAUACCGCAUAACGUCGCAAGACCAAAGAGGGGGACCUUCGGGCCUCUUGCCAUCGGAUGUGCCCAGAUGGGAUUAGCUAGUAGGUGGGGUAAAGGCUCACCUAGGCGACGAUCCCUAGCUGGUCUGAGAGGAUGACCAGCCACACUGGAACUGAGACACGGUCCAGACUCCUACGGGAGGCAGCAGUGGGGAAUAUUGCACAAUGGGCGCAAGCCUGAUGCAGCCAUGCCGCGUGUAUGAAGAAGGCCUUCGGGUUGUAAAGUACUUUCAGCGGGGAGGAAGGGAGUAAAGUUAAUACCUUUGCUCAUUGACGUUACCCGCAGAAGAAGCACCGGCUAACUCCGUGCCAGCAGCCGCGGUAAUACGGAGGGUGCAAGCGUUAAUCGGAAUUACUGGGCGUAAAGCGCACGCAGGCGGUUUGUUAAGUCAGAUGUGAAAUCCCCGGGCUCAACCUGGGAACUGCAUCUGAUACUGGCAAGCUUGAGUCUCGUAGAGGGGGGUAGAAUUCCAGGUGUAGCGGUGAAAUGCGUAGAGAUCUGGAGGAAUACCGGUGGCGAAGGCGGCCCCCUGGACGAAGACUGACGCUCAGGUGCGAAAGCGUGGGGGAGCAAACAGGAUUAGAUACCCUGGUAGUCCACGCCGUAAACGAUGUCGACUUGGAGGUUGUGCCCUUGAGGCGUGGCUUCCGGAGCUAACGCGUUAAGUCGACCGCCUGGGGAGUACGGCCGCAAGGUUAAAACUCAAAUGAACUGACGGGGGCCCGCACAAGCGGUGGAGCAUGUGGUUUAAUUCGAUGCAACGCGAAGAACCUUACCUGGUCUUGACAUCCACAGAACUUUCCAGAGAUGGAUUGGUGCCUUCGGGAACUGUGAGACAGGUGCUGCAUGGCUGUCGUCAGCUCGUGUUGUGAAAUGUUGGGUUAAGUCCCGCAACGAGCGCAACCCUUAUCCUUUGUUGCCAGCGGUCCGGCCGGGAACUCAAAGGAGACUGCCAGUGAUAAACUGGAGGAAGGUGGGGAUGACGUCAAGUCAUCAUGGCCCUUACGACCAGGGCUACACACGUGCUACAAUGGCGCAUACAAAGAGAAGCGACCUCGCGAGAGCAAGCGGACCUCAUAAAGUGCGUCGUAGUCCGGAUUGGAGUCUGCAACUCGACUCCAUGAAGUCGGAAUCGCUAGUAAUCGUGGAUCAGAAUGCCACGGUGAAUACGUUCCCGGGCCUUGUACACACCGCCCGUCACACCAUGGGAGUGGGUUGCAAAAGAAGUAGGUAGCUUAACUUUCGGGAGGGCGCUUACCACUUUGUGAUUCAUGACUGGGGUGAAGUC